UGGUCUAGGCUUCGUAUUUGGUUUUGUCUGGUGUUUAACUCAUAUCGUUUGUUCUGGUUUGCUGCGUUUGGGUUUGCUUCGGUUAAUAAAUUUGGUAUCAGCCCAUAAAGAAUGUUUGAUUAUGUAACCAAACUCUGCGUUUUGUCUUUCAACAGGUAAGAAUUUUUUUUUCAACCUGGCCGUCUCCUCCACAAAGCUUAAUCUGCAGACACAAAAAAAAAAUUCCGACUCUUUACCUCCCCUAACGUUUAACGACAUUCAAUAUAUUCUUCUUAAUUUGGCCAAUUAAAGUGAUUCCCAUUUAGCCCAAUAACAAAGUCGACCUCUCCGUUUCCUUCGUGUGAUCUAUAAAUUGGAGAGGAUUGGGAGUCGGAUGAAUCUUCACAAUCGCUUUAAACUAAUCUUCUAUAUCAAGCAUAGAAAUGCUUCUUUUGUGGUCAAAUGUGUCACAUGGCUUCAGACUGUGAAGGAAUCAAAGCAAAGAAGAGGCAGGAGAAUAUGAUGAGAAGGGCGAUGGUUUUGUCAAAAAGCCAUAUCAGCGUUUUCUGCAUGUAAAUGAGGACUUCUAACUCAAGGUAUUCUCAUGUCAAUUCUCAGUACUCUCCAGUUUGAUUUCUGUAAUAGUUCCUUUCCAUUACCGAGGCAUCCCUUCCACAAACAAGGCUUGGGAGUAGGAAGGUCAGCUAUCCUUCAAGUGUGGACUUAUUUGUACACCCGAGGUUGUGCUGCAAACAAUGAGCUUGAGUCUCUGAAACCGGAAUUCAGACAGGAGAGUGGAUGAACUGAACACAGCCCACAAUGAAUCCUUUUGUGUUGGAAGUGGUUUCCCGGUGGUAUCGUAUAGUUCAGAUUAUGUUGAAUGUCAUCCUGUCCACAGAACUUCAUACUCCAGACCUGAUAUUGUCAAGUCGUUAAGACCGACAGCAUCUCAAGCAACGUAUGACGCUAAUCUUACUUCAUCGUCAAACCUUACACCUGUUCAUCAGUAUUUCUAGAAGCUGGUUUGUUCUUGGAGCCAGCUGGUCUACCUUUGGCCUCUUAGUCAUAUCGCUUUUGAUUGAAGAAACCAGUUAGAUCGCUUGGUCAAUACUUUCAAAUCGCUGUUUUUUUCUUUUCCUUUCCGUUUUUUCGUUAUUGCUUCUCUCUCUGCUUGCUUAUUGGUUCCUCAUUGCAAGUAGUGCCUUAGAUCCUACAGAGGUUGAGUUCAAUCUGUACCUCCUGCUAUGGCUUCCACUGAGAUUUUGUGGGGAGUUUAUGGUUUUAAGAAAGAGAUAAUGUGAACUGUUGGAGGUGGUUAAGUUGUUCUCAAAAUUAUGAUUAAUAAUUAACAAAUCAUUUUGCCCAUAUAGGUUUUUGGCAGCCUAUUUCUCAACAGAUGAUUCAUGCCAAAUGUCUUCUUUAGGUAGAUUACUAAUAAUGUUUUAACUAUUAAACAAGAAAUUUCUUUGCCAAAAAUUGAACUAUACACAAUUUCAUAUGAGCAUAUAAUAUGCUUAUUUUGCAGACGUGUUACAAAGUGUACUAUAUUUUCUUUUUUGCUUAAAAGUGUCCUCUUACCAUGCAACAGAUUGCCGGUUAGAAAAACAUGUUAACAAUAUUUUCCACAAACCAAAUUUCAAUUAAAAAUAAUAUAUCUUCCAUCUGCAUUUACUCUUAGAUACACUGUAAAGUAGUUUAUAAAUCAACACAUACUAGAAAUAAUAGUUAUUCAGAAUCAACAUAUUUUGUUUCAAAUUUGAACUAAAAGUCUUAACUUUAACUUAUUGUUCAUUGUUUUCAAAACAACUACUAAAUUUUAAUUCAUAUAAUUUUCAUCGAAAUCUAUCGGCAGAAGAGUAAAUGCAAGUCAGACUGAUGAAAACAUAACUUUAUUAGAUUAUAUAAUUCACUGAAGACUUCUGAUUCUUUUGUUUAAAAAUAUUGAUUUUUGACUUAUCUUGUAAAAUAAAAUUUAUUUCUUAAAUUAAAUCAAACGAAAAGACUCAUAAAUAUACAAAAGGAAUUAAGAUAAAAAAUCAAUAAAUUCAGUAAUUGAUCAACUCUAAAAUAGAAAAACAUGACCUUCACAAAGCAUCCACCACAACAACAUAAUAAACCUCACAGAUAUUAACCCAAUCUUAGCCCUCUAAAUAUACAAGUAUCGACUAAGCAACUGAACAAGUUAAACAACAACUUCACAAACAGAGUUUCUUCUUCACUCUUUGAGAGAUAUACAACCCCGCGCUUGCGCGGGGGCUCGCCCCUAGUUAGAUUAGAGCUGGAGAGACGUUUUCUCACGCUACUUAGAUCAUUCUUCGAAACUAGUUAUUGUUAUUGUUGGUUUUGUUUCGGAGCUUGAGAAUACUCUUCUCUCUCUAGAAGAACAAACACCAACGAGAGAGUCAAGAGAGAAGUGUGUGCCUGUGUACAUACAAAAUGAUACACAAGUGAGAAACAAGUAUGCGAGUGAGUGAACAAAACAGAGUGAGAAAGAGAGCUGGCCAAGAGUACAAGCUCAAGAAGAGAAAUGUCAACAAAGGAAAUGAGAAUGCGUCUGAAUUUUUACAUGGUUUAGUCAUCCAUUGUUGUCUAGUUUAAUCCGGUUAUCUAACCGGUUUAUGCUGAUUGAUCACUUGUAACCUUCCGACCGUUUUAAUAUGGAUAUUUUCAUAUUAUGUAACAGAACCAAAGACGUGGAAGAGUCAAAAGAUUACACAACGAAUACAAUGGAACUUUCGUUUU
Raphanus sativus (radish) is the source of this 2721-nucleotide long non-coding RNA. RefSeq lists it as uncharacterized. The record is from RefSeq and is a predicted model, not a curated record. Lineage: Eukaryota; Viridiplantae; Streptophyta; Magnoliopsida; Brassicales; Brassicaceae. The transcript is spliced from 6 exons.